CAACUCCUAAGCCCAGGAACCACCCAGAGGAGGGGCAGGAAGGGUAGAAGAUCAGAAGUUUGCCGUGAAACUGUCUCCUAGUAACAUCCGAAGCUGCACCCAUACAGUCUCACCAGCAUGGCUGCCCAAAUGUGAUCUGAACCAGGACAUCACAGACACGGCUCCUUCUGGCUUGCCACUGGCUUAGUACUGGCUUAAUAAAGGUCACUGCUUGGCCAUGGAUACCAAGAAACUAUUCAACCCAAUUUAUCUGCCCAUCAAAAAGUCGAUGUUAUCCACGAUACCACAAAACCAGCUACAACCUCCUGGUCAGCCAACACAGGACGGAACCGGAGUAAAGACUGCUCUCCCCGGGGUGAUGGUUGGACCCAGUGAGGCAAGUUCCUAAAGGACAACACUGAAGAGAAAUUCUCCCAGAAGGUGAAACUCCAUGUUGAUUCAUAACUAACGUGUUGUCCAGCCCACCACAGGCUUUGAAAGGUUCCACGGGGAGAGGCUCUCAGAAGUUACCUGUACAGGGCGACCUUCUGAAGACACCAGCUGUCUCUCAUCCCCCGCCAGUGCUUGUUCCAUGGACCCAGGUACAAAUGACAAAAGAGGGAGGGAUGGCGGCCACAGACGCCCCUCACCCAGACUGGCACGGCUCUCCUCAGUGGCACAGCGCCACACUCCAUCAGCUGAGGCCCGUGCUGUGCCGUUCACCUGACGCCCUCCCAGUCACCGACGUUACAUUCCUUCCAACACAGUGGGCAGGGAGUUGCUUCCCCGGCCACAUCAUUUCUACCAACACCACCGUUUCUGGGCUUUGAGAAUGCUCUAUUUAUCUAUCACCAUGGCGACUCAGACAACAUCACGGAGAGCAGUAGGAUUUCAUUUUAUGGAGAAGGAAGUUUGGUAGAGAGCUCAUGCCUGUGAAAUCCCCUGACUACCUCAUGCCUCACCGUCAAGCCCACCCUGCAGGGUGUGGUGUAUUCCUUCCCUAGCAGGUUUUGUAAUGGUGCCAUGCCCCAAGAGUCCAGCACAUGGUGAGUCCCGGAACCAAGCCUCGGGGAGGAGGCCCGCCCGCCUAACACCAGCUAACACACAGGAGUUCUGCUUUCCUUCCUGCGACCUUGGGCUAGCAUCCAAGAAAGGAAUGCUUCCUUCAGGAAACACAGUCACAUCACGUCACAGUUCCGAUGGGUUGCAGGAUUUCCACUGAGGCUGCCCCUCCCCGACGAGCCCUGCCUGCCCCACCCCAGCCUCAACCAUGGUGUGGGGGGUGGGGGUGGGGGAGGGGCCUGUAAAGGUUCUGCUAGUGAGGCAGGGGGAUCUUGUACAGAACCUAACGAAUUUCAGGGAGGCACUCCUAAUACUUCUUGUUAAAAACUCUUAUUGCAUAAAAGGAAGGGAGCUCGCUAGAAAUGGACCCCGCGGGGAGUCCAGUCCUGAAUGAAUGUCUCCCCAGAGCUAAGGGAAAGAGCUGCUAAAAAGCCUCCACAGAGACAGGGCUUGAGAAGGGCAGCAGCAGCCAUGGCAGCAGCAGGAAACAGAGGAUUGCUUCCCGCUGGACCGCGUCAUCCACUCACACACACCUUACGCAAAGACUGAUGGUGAUGCCAAGGGUUAGGCUCCAGGACAAGGGUGAAGUCUGAACAGCAUAGGGCUAAGAGGUUUGCCUUACCACUACAGAUCAAAUUCCACCUUCCUCAGUACGCCCACGUGAGCUGUCCUGGGAGACUGCAGACAUGGCCGGUGUCUAGCAAGGGCGUAAGGGAUGUUUUCACCCAACAGCUGACAGCACAGCUCCCGUCAAGCCCUUCCUUGGGGGCUCUGCUCAGAUGGUGACACUCCUUCCACGGGAUCUGCAGUGGGACACAACCAUCAGUCCUCCCCAUCCUUCCUGACCUGACCCUGCCCACACCCUGGCAAACAGUUCUCCUGCAGGGUGUGACCUCCGCUGGGCUGAUUCAGCCACUUGAGCAGUGACAGUCACAUGGAAAAAUGAAAGCCUAAAUGUUCACCCGGGCAGAAGAAUAGAUAAGUCUGGGACUCUCCAAAGGUAGGAUUCCCCCAGGCCCAGUGGUGCACACUUGUGGCUUACAGCACUUACGUGCAGUUUGAGUGGGAAAUGCCCCUGUAGUCUUGGGCAUUUGAAUGCUGGUCCCAGUUGGUGGCACUGUGUUUUUUUUGGGGGGGUGG
Long non-coding RNA from Mesocricetus auratus (golden hamster), 2181 nucleotides. RefSeq lists it as uncharacterized. The record is from RefSeq and is a predicted model, not a curated record. The transcript is spliced from 5 exons. Lineage: Eukaryota; Metazoa; Chordata; Mammalia; Rodentia; Cricetidae.